AGAGUUUGACCCUAUGACCAGUCAUCCUGUGGGAAACUCUAUGGAGACGCAGACUACUUGGAAGAGAGGCACCGCCACCGAUUUGAGGUGAGGAUUCCAGCUUGCUGGUACUCUGGAAAGAUAGUGAGCUGAGAGACCAGCAGAAUUAUUUUUCAUGCCUCAACAGGUGAAUCCAGUCUGGAAAAAGUGUUUGGAAGAACAAGGCUUGAAGUUUGUUGGCCAAGAUGUUGAAGGAGAGAGAAUGGAAAUUGUGGAGUUAGAAGAUCAUCCCUUUUUUGUUGGGGUUCAGUACCACCCUGAGUUCCUGUCCAGACCUAUCAAGCCCUCCCCACCAUACUUUGGCCUCCUUCUGGCUUCUGUGGGGCGGCUCUCACAUUACCUCCAGAAAGGCUGCAGGCUCUCGCCCAGGGACACCUAUAGUGACAGAAGUGGAAGCAGCUCCCCUGACUCUGAAAUCACCGAACUGAAGUUUCCAUCAAUAAAUCAUGACUGAUCUUGUAGCGGAUGAUUCUUCAAGAGACCCUUCAAACUUGGGUAGAGUUUACAGCUCUGACUUUACACUCGGCUUUGGACACUUUCUUUAAAUUAUGUUUUUAUUA
RNAcentral lists this small RNA (599 nucleotides) under Pongo abelii (Sumatran orangutan). RNAcentral's name for it is "processed transcript". The record is from RNAcentral. Lineage: Eukaryota; Metazoa; Chordata; Mammalia; Primates; Hominidae.